UCUCCAACACCGCCCUCCGUCCCUGUCUUUUCCGUCUGUACGGACUGUGCAUCUCUGUGCAGGUAUCUGUGUCUGCGUAUAUAUACACACACGUAGACAUAUAUGCAUAUAUGUAUAUGUGUUUGUGUGUGUGUGUGCGUGGAGUUGCAUUCGGAUGCCACAUUAUGCGAGCCGAGGUACUUCGUCGUUUUCGGUCUCUUCGCCUUGCCUGAUCCGGCUCCGUUUACGUCGCUGCCACCGUCGCCGUGGGAGCCACCACGCCGAUCAACUCAUGAGCACGCAGGUGAACGCCCACGCACACGCACAGCGAGAACACACCACGUAUAUGUUUCCCGUGCCGGCCGGCUUUGCGGUGCACAACCGCAACACUGGUUCAAAUAACAGUGAAGGCGACGGGCAUGGUAGUCGCGUCGAUGAGCGAAGCACCGUCUUGGGGCUUGUGGCUGGCGUCGGCGGAGGCUCAACGACGGAAGCAGAUGUGGUGAGCGCAGUGAUAACGACGUCCCUCUUGCCGCCUGGCGGCGUUAAUGGAGUGGGGGCUGCCUCGUUUGUCUCGCCCAUCGUGGGCUCGCGAGACCGGGUUUGCUUCCAGCACUUCCUCAUCGCGGCGGCGGCGUCGGCGCUCGCGGCGGUCCUCGUCGUCACGUACGUGUGGCAGUCGACCUCUGCGUUCAACAUCGACCCGGUCACCGGCAAGGUGCGCCCGCACUCGUUCCAGUACUUCGUCUACUGUUUUGUGGGCGGCAUCGCCGCGGGGAUGGUGCACCUCGUCGUUGCCCCAAUCGACAUCCUCAAGUGCCGGGUGCAGGUGGGCGAGUACCGAAGCUUUAAGGACGGCUUCGUGCACCUAUUCCGCGUUGAGGCCGGCGGCUCAGUCUACCGCGCGCUGCCGCUGUUCUUCCGCGGGUGGCUGCCGAUGCUGUGGGGGUACUGCAUCCAAGGCUCGAUCAAGUUCUCUCUCUACGAAAUAGUCAAGUACGUGCUGCUGAUCGCCUUUCUGGAACCGUCAGUGGAGGCGAAGGCGGCAGCUGCUGCCGCGGGAGGCGUGGCCAACUCGCUCGCGUCGUCGUCAGCGGCGCAUGUGUCCGGCGUCUACCAGUUCUUCGUCUUUCUCUUCUCCAGCUGCCUGGCCGAGGUGGUUGCCGAUCUCGGUCUGGCGCCGUGGGAGGCGGUAAAGAUUCGCAUGCAGACCUCGCCGUCGUUUCCGGUGCACCUCCGCAGCGCCCUGCCGCGCAUGUGGGAGACGGAGGGGCUGCACGGUUUUUACAGGGGGCUCGUGCCGCUCUGGGGCAGGCAGGUGCCGUACACGAUGAUGAAGUUCUCCUCAUUCGAAUUCGUCGUCGUCGGGCUGCAGUCCCUCUUCCAUAGCCUUGGCGUCAUGGACGCCGCAGAGCCUGGGGUCUUGGGCAAGCUGGUCGUGAGUUUGCUGGCCGGCGUGCUGGCGGGGCUGCUGUGCGGCGUUGUGUCGCACCCGGCGGACACGGUGCUGUCAAAGAUGAACCAGCGGUCAUCUGCGCCCACAUCGAGUGCGGUGCCGGCGCUGGCCAAUACGCUUGCGGACGCCACAUGCGGCAGCGUGGGCCACGGCAGAGCCGGCGCCGCCCACGGUGGCGCCAUGCACGGUGUCCUCGAGGUGAUGCAUGAGCUAGGGUGGCGCGGCAUGUGGAAAGGCUUGGCCCCUCGUCUGUUGAUGGUGGUUUCGCUGACGGCACUGCAGUGGGUGACGUACGACGGCUUCAAGGUGUGGGCUGGACUGCCCACCUCCGGUGAUGUAGAGAAGUGAUACCGCAUCUGUAGCGGCAUGGGACGGUGGGGUCGGCGGAGGACAACAACAGCGGCGACGACGGUAGACAAGACAGCCAAGCCGAAUCUGAUGAAAGGCGGUCGGCGUGCGCGCGUAUGGGAUCAUGUAUGGGCCUGUGCACGCAAGCACAUACAGCUAUGGCGGUUACCGAUGCACCCCCUUGUACCCUUGGCCAAAGG
This 1983-nucleotide unclassified non-coding RNA is filed under the name Leishmania donovani. RNAcentral's name for it is "gene:LdHU3.05.0350(CDS-product:phosphate_carrier_ protein_mitochondrial_precursor-like_protein)". The record is from RNAcentral. Lineage: Eukaryota; Euglenozoa; Kinetoplastea; Trypanosomatida; Trypanosomatidae.